GCUCAGGAUGAACGCUAGCGGCAGGCUUACACAUGCAAGUCGAGGGGUAACAGGUUCUUUCGGGAAUGCUGACGACCGGCGCACGGGUGAGUAACGCGUAUGCAACCUUCCUGUAUCAGGAGGAUAGGCCUUGGAAACGAGGAUUAAUACUGCGUAAUAUUAUUUUAUCGCAUGGUAAGAUAAUCAAAUUUACGAAGGAUACAGAUGGGCAUGCGUACCAUUAGCUAGAUGGUAAGGUAACGGCUUACCAUGGCUAUGAUGGUUAGGGGUUCUGCAAGGAAGAUCCCCCACACUGGUACUGAGACACGGACCAGACUCCUACGGGAGGCAGCAGUGAGGAAUAUUGGUCAAUGGAGGCAACUCUGAACCAGCCAAGCCGCGUGAAGGAAGACUGUUCUAUGAAUUGUAAACUUCUUUUGUGACAGAGUAAAGAUAGCUACGUGUAGUUGUAUGCAAGUAUGUCAUGAAUAAGCAUCGGCUAACUCCGUGCCAGCAGCCGCGGUAAUACGGAGGAUGCAGGCGUUAUCCGGAUCUAUUCAGGUCCAAAGGCUGUUCAGGCUGUCUGGUAAGUCAGAGGUGACAGUCGGUCGCUUAACGAUCGAAUUGCCUUUGAAACUGUCAGACUUGAGUAUGGAUGUGGUAGGCGGAAUGUGUAGUG
RNAcentral lists this ribosomal RNA (658 nucleotides) under uncultured organism. Its description in RNAcentral is "bacterial SSU rRNA". It matches the Rfam family "Bacterial small subunit ribosomal RNA", at positions 22 to 675 of the family's 1533-position model. The record is from RNAcentral.